AACGAACGCUGGCGGCAUGCCUAACACAUGCAAGUCGAACGAGACCUUCGGGUCUAGUGGCGCACGGGUGCGUAACGCGUGGGAACCUGCCCUUAGGUUCGGAAUAACUCCCCGAAAGGGGUGCUAAUACCGGAUAAUGUCUUCGGACCAAAGAUUUAUCGCCUUUGGAUGGGCCCGCGUUGGAUUAGCUAGUUGGUAGUGUAAAAGCCUACCAAGGCGACGAUCCAUAGCUGGUCUGAGAGGAUGAUCAGCCACACUGGGACUGAGACACGGCCCAGACUCCUACGGAAGGCAGCAGUGGGGAAUAUUGGACAAUGGGCGAAAGCCUGAUCCAGCAAUGCCGCGUGAGUGAUGAAGGCCUUAGGGUUGUAAAGCUCUUUUACCCGGGAUGAUAAUGACAGUACCGGGAGAAUAAGCUCCGGCUAACUCCGUG
This 433-nucleotide ribosomal RNA is filed under the name uncultured bacterium. RNAcentral describes it as "partial 16S ribosomal RNA". It matches the Rfam family "Bacterial small subunit ribosomal RNA", at positions 29 to 507 of the family's 1533-position model. The record is from RNAcentral.